GACGAACGCUGGCGGCGUGCUUAACACAUGCAAGUCGAACGGAAAGGCCCUGCUUUUGUGGGAUGCUCGAGUGGCGAACGGGUGAGUAACACGUGAGUAACCUGCCCUUGACUUUGGGAUAACUUCAGGAAACUGGGGCUAAUACCGGAUAGGAGCUCCUGCUGCAUGGUGGGGGUUGGAAAGUUUCGGCGGUUGGGGAUGGACUCGCGGCUUAUCAGCUUGUUGGUGGGGUAGUGGCUUACCAAGGCUUUGACGGGUAGCCGGCCUGAGAGGGUGACCGGCCACAUUGGGACUGAGAUACGGCUCAGACUCCUACGGGAGGCAGCAGUGGGGAAUAUUGCACAAUGGGCGGAAGCCUGAUGCAGCAACGCCGCGUGCGGGAUGACGGCCUUCGGGUUGUAAACCGCUUUCGCCUGUGACGAAGCGUGAGUGACGGUAAUGGGUAAAGAAGCACCGGCUAACUACGUG
RNAcentral lists this ribosomal RNA (468 nucleotides) under uncultured bacterium. RNAcentral's name for it is "partial 16S ribosomal RNA". It matches the Rfam family "Bacterial small subunit ribosomal RNA", at positions 28 to 507 of the family's 1533-position model. The record is from RNAcentral.